GAUGAAGAACGCAGCGAAAUGCGAUACGUAAUGUGAAUUGCAAAUUCAGUGAAUCAUCGAAUCUUUGAACGCACAUUGCGCCCCUUGGUAUUCCAUGGGGCAUGCCUGUUCGAGCGUCAUUUGUACCUUCAAGCUUUGCUUGGUGUUGGGUGUUUGUCCAUUCUCUUGCAGAGGGACUCGCCUUAAAGUAAUUGGCAGCCAGUGUUUUGGUUUUGAAGCGCAGCACAAGUCGCGAUUCAACGCUAUACGCCAGCUUCCACAAGCCUUUUUCACUUUUGACCUCGGAUCAGGUAGGGAUACCCGCUGAACUUAAGCAUAUCAAUAAGCGGAGGA
This 333-nucleotide unclassified non-coding RNA is filed under the name soil metagenome. RNAcentral describes it as "partial contains 5.8S ribosomal RNA, internal transcribed spacer 2, and large subunit ribosomal RNA". The stretch from base 1 to 119 matches the Rfam family "5.8S ribosomal RNA", at positions 35 to 154 of the family's 154-position model. The record is from RNAcentral.